CUUUUAUGCUGUGAAAUUGGGCAGGGAGCUCUUGCUGCUUGACUUCUCAGACUUGCAGUUUUUUGUGAUGCAGUUCUCCAUCCUGAACGUCAGCAUUCCUCCUUCCCAACUCUGAGGGUCCAUUUAGUUUUAUUAAAAGAAGUUUUGUUCUAAUUGGUCCCAGCUAGCCAAAGGAGCCAAUACAAUAUGUAUGAGUUGUUCUAGUUAUUCUGCUCUACUAAUCUUUGUCUUCCACUGGUUUAGGAGUAGUGAUUUAGGACAACGUUUUCCUUUCAGGCUGUUGGAAGGAGAGGAUCCCCACAAAGCCCCCUCUAGAAAUACUCUGAUAACACCAAACUGAGAAUUACUUGAAUAGGUUAGAGAUUCCUCAAUUAAUCUGCCUAUUCUUAGCCUGUUUAAUAUUUGCUCUGUGAAUGCUGUACAGUGAGAAAGUUGAAGUAUUUUGUCACAUGCUGUUGAAAAUCUAUUACCUUAUCAAUCAAAUGUGUAAUCUUGUCAGAGAAUGAAAUCGGAUUUAUGCGAUACAGCCUAUUUUCUAAAAUAUCGUGGUGUUUAUUCUUAUCUUUUUGAUUCGUGAUCAGUUUAGUUAGAUACCGUCUUUCUAUUUUUGCUUGGGAUUGAUGUCAGGUGAAUGCCCGGUAAUUACCUAGUCAUCUCACUUGCCCUUUUGAUAAUUGUCACAUGAUCGGCACUCCUUCCAAAGUGCCGAUAACCAGGUAUGCCAAGUGUUAUUAAAAAUGAACGUCGGCAGGGCAGAGCGUUCUAGGCUGUCUUGAGACUGUUGAGUGUAAGUUAACUCCUGAAUUUAAAAAACCUUAUCCAUUAGAGGAAGUCUAAUACCCUCUUCAGGCAGUGAACAGUCUGGAAAUGAUGUCUUAAUCCCCACAGGAUACUUCUUUCCAAACAGAAAACAGAAACGUGAGCCAUUCCCAAACAGUUAGUCCCUGCCACGUUUCCACUCUUUGUUUUCCCUUGAAAGGCCGCAUGUGGCACUUACAUAUUCUAAUACGUAAACGGGCAGCUUGCAGAAAGGCUGGGGAUAAACUGAAGUGGGUAGAAUUGAACUCGGUGUCAAGAAGUAAUGGAACGCUGCAUUCAGUGGACAUGAAGUGUUACAGCUGCCAGAUGACGUCCUAAUGAAACAUCAAAGAAACUGUGAACUGCUGUACUUAAGGGCUCUCUGAAAGAAGUGUCCUCUGAAUUACGGAGCUCCCACUCUGAGAUAUGAAGGAAUUUUGACCAGAGGACAAAAGUGACUUUCAUCUUUUAGACAUCACAGCAGAGGUGCAGUACAAAUCCUAACUUUCAUUAAAAAC
RNAcentral lists this long non-coding RNA (1316 nucleotides) under Struthio camelus australis. RNAcentral describes it as "lncRNA (ENSSCUG00000012950.1)". Lineage: Eukaryota; Metazoa; Chordata; Aves; Struthioniformes; Struthionidae. The record is from RNAcentral.